CCAGUCUGACUAAAGGCUUUUGAAUUUCUUGCUACUCAAGUGGAUUCUACUGUUGUUUUACUAAAUCAAGACCGUGAAUUACCACGAUUUUGCCUGCUCUGUGUAAUCCCCCUGAGCAACGAAGAAACGAGUGAGCUACCAGUGAAAUACAGUUUCCCAUCCAUGUGCUGUUGGAGGCCCUACUAAAAGAGCUCAGCUUUCUGACAAAUUACAUCUCAGUUCACAACACAUUUCAGACAAGACAUAACGCCUGUCUUGUAGGUGAUGUCAAAUUAUACCUGCAGAAAUAAAAGGAUGAAAGUGACUGUACCAGGUAUCAUCUGACACUGGGUCCAGAGUUUGUACCUGUUCCUUAUGCUUCUUCAUAGUAAUGCAAGGAAGAUAUUUAGGUCUCGGAAUCACUUAGAAACACAUCCAGAAUUUGAGUCAUCCUCUGCUAAGCUGAUAAAUUAAAUCAAGGAGGGCUGAUAUAUCCUCUAAAACAGGAGCUGUUUCUCAUUGUGUUGGAAUGCAUUUUCUCAGGAGUGGUAAUAUGUUUUCUUUCUUUGCAUGAAAGCUAAUAUUUUUUCUAAGUGUCUAAAAAGAACUUAGGCUUUUAAGUUGCUUAGGUCCUUCAGAAAAUCUUGACCUUCAGUUAUUUUGAAACUUUUUAAAGUAACAAUCAACAAAAAAAUAUAUAUAUUGAUAGCAGAUGUCAGAUAUCAGUUAGUUUGUUCUAUCAGUUGUUGUCAAAUCCAAUCUAGAAUGAAACUAUUAGAAGGGGCAAUCAAACUUAAAUCCUCCUAGAGAUGUCUGAGCCUGAUGACCCUUAAGCGAAUAUGAACUGGCUGUUCUGCUGCCACUUGGGUUUCUGGGAUGAUGGUUCUAUCAUCUUGCUUAUCUUACUAUUCAGUUCCUGACAAACGCUCUGGCUAGCCCAGGGCAAAACCAUAUCUAAAACUGAGUGAAGAUCCUGAACAAUACCUUGAUGUGUUUAUAUUACUGCUAUUCUCAUGUGCUCUCUCUGAUUAAUUCCUUGUUGUCAUUUUAUGAUUGUUAUUCCAUUUCACAUCAUGUAGUACACUGGGAGUUUAGAAGUGAAUGUUUACUCAAGAUAUCAGAAGUGAAUUUUGGUGGUAUGGCAGUAGAGGUUAAACCUUUGACCAGUCUAACAUUACAUAUUGUUGCUGUGUGACAGAUGGCAGCAGAGGAACACUGACAAAAUGGCACCUGACAUCCAGGAAGUGCAUAUAAAGUAAAAGUGCGUCAUUCUUCUGUGAGUGUGGGGGGGAAUGUCACCCACUGACCUUCAUUGGUGCUUGCUGAACACUUGUGGGUGUGAGCACAGAUAAGGUGAUGUGUAGUGAACUUCAGUGGUGAUAGUGACUGUGGGUUAUGUGUGCUGGUGCAGAUUUUGAUGUGCACAGCAUGCAACCUCAUGUUCAUAGCUGGCAAAAAUGCUCCGAUAAUGAUGGUGACCAUGUUGACAAACAGCAUUCUGUAGCUCAGAAUUUGCUCUAUCAGAGUUACUGUGCUCAUUUUGCCUGUUGGAGUUUCCACAAAAAUAAAAAGGAAGCAUUACUUUUGGAGAAAAUACACAUGGCCUGUGACAACUUGUCUUCAUUCAAUGCGGUGUAAAUGGGUUGGAUGCUGGUGUGAUACACCAUCUGUACCAUAACCUGUUCCCUCAGGUCCUGGGUGCCCUUCUUGAGGGCAGUCCAUUGGACUGGGUAACAUGCCAGGUGAAAGAAAGAAAAAAACUUAUUUUGUACCAUUGCUACAAUGAGAAAGAAAGUAGCCAAGCAGAGAAUGAAAGGAACGUAGCAGAGGAGCAGUGCAAAGCACAGAGAUUGGGUGAGCAUUUCCAAGCAGGCUGUGUGAAGAAGUUAAAAGAUACAAGCCUCUCUGCAAAACAAAUAAAUAAUAUCCUUCAUCUGUCAGGUGCCCUCUUCCUUUAGUAACAAUGUCUCUGAGCUGAGGGGUUUUUGCUGUGGGGGCAGAGGGAGGAGGAGUGAUGGUGAAGAACUCAAUUAAAAUAUAUAUUUAUUUUAAUUAUGUUUGCGGAUGCAUUCACCAGCUGUGGGGCUGCUCCGCACUGAGGGGCGGGCGGCAACGGGACCCACAGGUGAGCGCGGGCUGGUGCCUCAGCUGGGAAGGGCGGGAACGCUGAGGGGGGAGAGAAAGAGGCGGGAAGAACAGCGGCGGGAAGCGACUGAGGCGUUCUGGGUUCUGAUUGGUUGGCGCUUAGGGACAGCUAUAAAAGGUGCCCGCGCGGGCAGGUGCGUGAGGCGUUCUCCUCAGAGUGUGGGAAGGCGCUGGGUGCUGUGAGGGACAGGCGGCGGAGGAGGAGGCACGGGCGGCAAGCGGUCUACAGAGCCGAGUUUCAGGAGCUGCUGGAGAAGAAAGAAGAGGUGGUGAGGGAGACCUGGAGGCAGGAGCGAGCAAGAAGAGGAAGCCGAAGCGUGCAGAUGCAGGGGGGAAAGAGAAAGGCAUUCUGGGCAAAGCACCUCCCUGUUAGCAGGGGCAUAGUCACAUUUGAAUUGAACGUUGCCGGCGCCAUAGGUGUCCAGGCCGGCUUUGUGCUGGGCGACCUCCCUGUAAUCAGGGCUCCGGUCUUUUGCUGUAGUUGGCCUUUUGCCUUGCUGCUCCUUGGCUGCCUGGGGAGCGUGGCCCCCUGUAACGGAGGGCGAGAGCCACCUCUCCGCACCUGAGUGGGAAACGGAGCCCGCCGGACCCCGCGGCAACCCUGUAAUCAGGGUAGUGCCGCUUCCCUGCCCCCUCUUCCUCCCGUUGCCCCUCGGCAUCGUUGCCUGGAGGUGGCCCGUCAAUGCGACGGCCCCGUACUCGGGGUGUGCGUCAGGGCGUUUGGCCCUUGUCUAUAGCUGGGAAGCCCCUUGGCACGUUGAGGUCCGUGGCCUCCGUGCAGCCUAGAAAAAGGUCACAGGCUCUUGUGUGUUGCUCGUGGUUGCGGGUUUAUUCCCAGUAGUCGGCUGCACCGUGUUGUCCUUCCUUUCUGGAAAGUCAUGUGUGUGUGUGUGUUCCUUUCCCUUUCCCUUGACUGUGUUUGCAGAGUGACUGAGCGAGUGAGCUUUCCCUUUAGGCCCCCACAAAGAUGGCUGCAGCUUAGCUUUGACUUCCUAGGGGGGAACGGAGGACUUUGGUGCAUGCCA
Coturnix japonica (Japanese quail) is the source of this 3149-nucleotide non-coding RNA. The record is from RefSeq and is a predicted model, not a curated record. Lineage: Eukaryota; Metazoa; Chordata; Aves; Galliformes; Phasianidae.